Molecule: long non-coding RNA, 1561 nt
Filed under: Macaca fascicularis (crab-eating macaque)
Lineage: Eukaryota; Metazoa; Chordata; Mammalia; Primates; Cercopithecidae
Description: lncRNA (ENSMFAG00000054706.1)
Source: RNAcentral
UUUUUGUUUUUUUUUUUUUUUGAGACAGAGCCUUGCUCUGUUGCCCAGCCUGGAGUGCAGUGGCGCGAUCUCGGUUUACUGCAAGCUCCACCUCCCAAGUUCACGCCACUCUCCUGCCUCAGCCUCCUGAGUCGCUGGGUUAUAGGCAUGUGCCACCACACCCGGCUAAUUUUUUUGUUAUUUUUUAGUAGCGACGUGGUUUCACUGUGUGAGCCAUGAUGGUCUCGAUCUCCUGACCUUGUGAUCCACUUGCCUCGGCCUCCCAAAGUGCUGAGAUUACAGGUGUGAGCCACCACACCUGGCCGCAUCUUGUUUUCUUUAUUAAUUAUUUGUAUGUCUGAAAGUCUAGAUAUAUAUUUGUCUUCAGGAAAGGAAAGGUACCAAUAGGAAAUUUUGAGUAAGCCAGAGUAUUCUAGUAAAUGUAGGAAUUAUGCCAAGAAGAGCCAGAAUUGCUCAGCACUAGUGAUAACCUGGUGAAUAGAAAGACCAUCAACUAUGUGUUCCAAAAAUGAUGUCAGCACUGCAAGAGGAGAGCUGACUGCGUAGGCUCAUCCUCAUUUCUCAAGAGAGUGUGCCUCUAAAUGACCUACCAAUUAGAAGUAGAUGAUAAUGAAGCAAAAUGAUGUAAAUCAAGAUCUGAAGACAUUUAUGGCCAAGACUUGAUAAAUACAGAAUUGGAGAAAGGAGACAGGAAACACCAGAGGAGAACAGCAAGGACUGUAGUUGUUUGUUUUUUGUUGUUGUUGUUGUUGUUGUUGUUUUUGUUUUGUUUUGUUUUGUUUUGUUUUUACUGUGGAUAAGCCCAACUGCAUACUGUGGCGUUGAAUCUUGGCCAGGCAAUAGUUUGAUUGCUGAUUUCCUUAAAAGGGAAGGAUUCUUGUGUAGGAUUAAAGUAAAAGUAAUUCCAUGACAACUUGUUACUGAGGAAGACAGCCAAAUACAUAUUUCAUGAGUUUCGAACAGUCAUUUUGGUGGAAUUUGGUGUGUUAUGUAAGGCUUGGUGCUAGAUUAAUGCCCAGGUAACCACUUGGGGGACAAUCAGUGUAGCCCUGUGAAAGAUACAAAGUAUUGCCUGCCUAAGUCUCAGUUUCUUCGUCUGUAAAAUGUGUGUUUAAGCGGAGCUGUGAGACAAUGAGAAUAUAUAUAAGGUGCUUGGCACUUAAUAGUUGUUCAGUUUCUCUCUCUUGAGCAUCCUCGAAGCUCCUUUUAUUCAUUUCUUUGAUGUUGAAUGAAAGAGAAUAAAUUUUGACUGAGCGAUGAGCUUCAUUUUUUGAAGGUGCUGAUUCUUACCCCAUUUUCAGCUACAUUGACUGUAUUGUUAGCCACUUGUUACCCAUCUAGUGGAGCCAUCUUCUAUAGUGCAGUGUGUGUUAGUAGGAAAGGCUUAUUUGGCCUUGAAGGGCUUAUUUGGCCUUGAUUGUGGUUUGAGGUUGAGAAUAUUAAGGAUGAAUAAUAGCUGGAAUGGUCCAUGAUGUGUGCUUAGCAUCCUUCAGAAUGUUUACGUAGUAAUAUUUAGAUUGCUUCUGAGCACAAGAGAAUACAGAACAAAAUGUUAUGUUCC